UGGGGAAUCUUGGGCAAUGGGCGAAAGCCUGACCCAGCAACGCCGCGUGAGGGAUGAAGGCCCUCGGGUCGUAAACCUCUGUCGGGAGGGAAGAACGGUGACGUUUCAAAUAGGCUCGUCACCUGACGGUACCUCCAAAGGAAGCACCGGCUAACUCCGUGCCAGCAGCCGCGGUAAUACGGAGGGUGCAAGCGUUGUUCGGAAUCACUGGGCGUAAAGCGCGUGUAGGCGGCUUGGCAAGUCGGAUGUGAAAUCCCGGGGCCCAACCCCGGAACUGCAUCCGAAACUGCCUCGCUAGAGUCUCGGAUAGGAAGGCAGAAUUCCCGGUGUAGGGGUGAAAUCCGUAGAUAUCGGGAGGAAUACCGGCGGCGAAGGCGGCCUUCUGGACGAUGACUGACGCUGAGACGCGAAAGCGUGGGGAGCAAACAGGAUUAGAUACCCGUGUAGUCC
RNAcentral lists this ribosomal RNA (450 nucleotides) under uncultured prokaryote. RNAcentral describes it as "bacterial SSU rRNA". It matches the Rfam family "Bacterial small subunit ribosomal RNA", at positions 355 to 796 of the family's 1533-position model. The record is from RNAcentral.